RNAcentral lists this ribosomal RNA (464 nucleotides) under uncultured bacterium. RNAcentral's name for it is "partial 16S ribosomal RNA". It matches the Rfam family "Bacterial small subunit ribosomal RNA", at positions 28 to 507 of the family's 1533-position model. The record is from RNAcentral.
GACGAACGCUGGCGGCGUGCUUAACACAUGCAAGUCGAACGGAAAGGCCCAGCUUGCUGGGUGCUCGAGUGGCGAACGGGUGAGUAACACGUGGGUGAUCUGCCUCUAACUUCGGGAUAAGCUUGGGAAACUGGGUCUAAUACCGGAUAGGACAAUCGUUUAGUGUCGGUUGUGGAAAGUUUUUUCGGUUAGGGAUGAGCCCGCGGCCUAUCAGCUUGUUGGUGGGGUAAUGGCCUACCAAGGCGUCGACGGGUAGCCGGCCUGAGAGGGUGGACGGCCACAUUGGGACUGAGAUACGGCCCAGACUCCUACGGGAGGCAGCAGUGGGGAAUAUUGCACAAUGGGCGCAAGCCUGAUGCAGCGACGCCGCGUGGGGGAUGACGGCCUUCGGGUUGUAAACCUCUUUCGACAGGGACGAAGCUUUGGUGGCGGUACCUGUAUAAGAAGCACCGGCUAACUACGUG